GACGAACGCUGGCGGCGUGCUUAACACAUGCAAGUCGAACGGAAAGGCCCUGCUUGCAGGGUACUCGAGUGGCGAACGGGUGAGUAACACGUGGGUGAUCUGCCCUGCACUUCGGGAUAAGCCUGGGAAACUGGGUCUAAUACCGGAUAGGAGCCAUUUUUAGUGUGAUGGUUGGAAAGUUUUUUCGGUGUAGGAUGAGCUCGCGGCCUAUCAGCUUGUUGGUGGGGUAGUGGCCUACCAAGGCGGCGACGGGUAGCCGGCCUGAGAGGGUGGACGGCCACAUUGGGACUGAGAUACGGCCCAGGCUCCUACGGGGGGCAGCAGUGGGGAAUAUUGCACAAUGGGCGCAAGCCUGAUGCAGCGACGCCGCGUGGGGGAUGACGGCCUUCGGGUUGUAAACUCCUUUCGCUAGGGACGAAGCUUUUUGUGACGGUACCUAGAUAAGAAGCACCGGCUAACUACGUG
This 465-nucleotide ribosomal RNA is filed under the name uncultured bacterium. RNAcentral's name for it is "partial 16S ribosomal RNA". It matches the Rfam family "Bacterial small subunit ribosomal RNA", at positions 28 to 507 of the family's 1533-position model. The record is from RNAcentral.